AGGACGCCUGUGACCAGGGAGAGACUGAGUCCUGGGGUGACGGAGCCCGGAAGCCCCACUGUGCAGCUGUUGUUAACCCGCGCCUGCUCCCCAGGCUGCUGCAGUUUCCCCAGAACCCAGACCAAAGCUGCCGCGGCCCCUGAGUCAGGUCAGCGCAUGGGGGGCCACCACGGACAGACACUGAGGACAAACCAACAGACAGACACGACGGCCACACAGCCUCCCAGAGCACUAGGAUUACAAGCAUGGGUGAUGCUUUUCCAGAUUCCCGCCUAUCCUGACAGCCUGCACUGGUACACGUGCUGCUGGAGUCCACGCACACAGGCACACGGCUCUCCUGUGAUGGAUGACAGAUUGACUGAUGGACCUAUGAAUGCAGAACAUGGCCAUCAAGCACCUUGUAGAGGUUGGGACCCUAAAAUCAGUGUUCUCUGAAAGGAACUGGGACUUGGAAAAUUGGCCGGUCACACUUUGGGGACCAAGAUUGUACAAGAUAGGCCUGGUGUAUUUUGUUGCCAAAAACCAAGAACAAUGAAAAUUUGUCAAAAUUCUGUCAGGGCUAUAGGAGCCAAAUCUUUUGCCUAAAUCAUGAUAUUCUGAUCACCAAAACAGAGCUAAUGGCUACAAAUAAUCGAACAACUUGUGUUGCCAGAAAGCCACCGUUUAUCACAAUGUCAUGAGAAAAAGUAAGGUCUCGAGAGAAUCUUUGCUUUGAUGUCACCUUAAUUUCCCCACGUGCUGCUUUGGCCCUGCCAGACUCUGGGUAGAGGAGAGAAGGUACCACCCCAGCUCCAGAGAAUCUAGGACAGUGUUACACGUGGACAAGGGGGUACAGGCUGGGUCAGGGAUGCCUUCAUAGCCAGAUGGAAAAGGAUGGAAAGACGCUUAAAUAACAAGAGUCAGUCAAAGAAAACAAAAUCCAGUAGGAGCUUGAGUUCUAUGAGUAGGCAGAAAAAGGAGUUGGGCUCUAGGGGAUGAACUAAUGGUCAGCGUGGAGCUGGACUGAGUCAGCGCGGUUGGGCAUGGAGGACCCAACUGAGGAUGGCUGCCAACGGCCUGAAAGGAGAACCAGAUGGGAAGACCGUGUGCUGUUGAUUUCCUGGAGAAGCCUACCGCGGCUGGUUUUCCUGAUGCGAAUUUGGCUGUUCUCGUAGUCGUCAGAGGAUCUCAGGUCCUCGCUGUCACCGGGAGAGCUGCUGUUCUCGUCAGAGACGCUCUGGUCUUCGCCUUGAGCAUCGCUUCCUGGCUCCAGGGCAGAUCCCUCAGCCUGGUGACACAGAGCCUCAUCCCACAGGUACAGGCUUUCUAGUUUCCACCGCUGGCCUUGGGCCUUCCUGGUGCAGACCCUCGACACAGACUUGCAUGAGACAUCGGCAUGGGCUCAAAGCCUGGAGCUGGACUUGUGCGGGACAUUGCCUUGGGAUCCUGUAUUCUUCGGGUCUCUAGCGUGUGGACAGAUCUCUUCCACUCCUCUGCAUUUGAAUUUUUAGGUGACUGCUAUAAAACAAUCCUAUAAAUUAUGUGUUCCGUAUUAAAUCUAUUCCCUUGCAAACCCUGACUACAGCACUCCCAGUCCCUUGCUGACCCAGUGCUCUCCCGGAUGCAUCCUCAGUUGCAGACAGGUGGCAGGGGCUCUCUGCCCUCUAGUGGUUCUCUCUGGUAAUGACAGGAAAUAGCUGCCACUUUUGUGCCCCUUUGGGGUGAAACCAGUUCCAUUGAGUGGGUGCCAAGGACCACCUGACACCAGCCAGGACCUUUGACUGACUUGUGGGUUUUUGCUUAAAUUCAGCUUGAUGGAAUGGACCUUCCCACAGCCGUGUGCACAAAGAACAAUGCACUUGUGGUUGGGUGGGUGUCCAGGGCGUUGGAGAUAGCCCUGCAGCGGGCAGGUACCACUCCUACCACAGGAAAGAGAUGUACGAUUCUAGUAUAACUCUAAGACAAACCAAAUAUUGAUGUGCAGUAAUAUCUCCUAAUGGUGACAACUAUACAGUGGUACCUUGGUUCAUGAACUUAUUUUUUUCUACAAUUUUGGAAAAGAUGGCUAUGUUUGUGUUUGUGUGGGAAGGAAUGCCGUGGUCGUAUUUGUCAACUGAUGCAGAGUUUGCAAACAAAAGCAAAAUUUUGCCAAAUGCUUCUGUUUGCAAACCAAACUGUUUGCAAACAAAAGCAUUUGUGAACCAAGGUACCACUGUGCCUCCACUAACAAUAAAAAGAAUUCACCAGUAAUAACAUAGAGUUAACUACAUAAAGAUUAAUAAAGCUCAAUGGUUAUACUAGUAAAGACAGAGGGGGUGGGGAAUUGGAGAGUGAAAGAAAUGUUUGAAAAGUUAAGCAAUGGAGGACAGGAAAGAGAAACAAAGGACUGUUAGGAGUAAAAAGAAUUUAAUAGAAUUAACAAAGGUAUGAGAAAAGAACAAAUAAGAAAAGAAUAUAUAUAAAAGAAAAAAAUUAAGAGGAAAAAAGAAAGAUAAAGAAAAUUCCCUAACCACUCCCCAAAAAAACCUUGUGGAGAAGAAAGAGGAAAAAGGUGUGCUCAAGAAAGCAAUUUUUCUGUGUAUGUGAACAAGAGUUUUUUUCGCAGGCUCUACAGUUUUGGAAUGCAAUACUGGGUUUUCUCUGCCUAGCCUCCCAUCCUCUGGGGUUGGGAGCUGCACCCGCUCCUGAAGUGGUGCCUGGUUGAAUGCUGCCCAGCAAUGGGGCAGGGGCUGCCCGGGGUUUCUCCUCCCGCUGUUGCCUGCUGUGUCAAGUCACUCUGCAGUGAAGCCCCUCGUUGCUUUGCAGUCUGUGGUAAAGGGGGCAGGGGGCUGGUCCUUUCCCACAGUGCAUCUUUUAGCUGUGGUUUUCUGUUUCACUUUGGAUAGUUUCUAUUGCCAUCUUCAAGUCCCAUAUCUUACCUCCUGCAACAUCUGUUCUAUUGACUCCAUCCACUUUGCUCUUCUCAGAAAUUGUAACUUUCAUUUCCAAGCAUCUGGAUUGUGUUCUACACCACUUACUGCUCUAAUUUAACCCAUGUAACCUCUCCUCCAUGCUCCGAGCCAGGCACAAUUCUGUUUUCAGUCCUUAUGCACUGAUCCAAAUACCUCCACCACGGCUGGCUCAGCCUUGACUGGCGUCUUCUCCUUCCCCACUGUGAGUCACACUUUCCUGCACAUUCAUGGGCAGGAUGACCCGG
Long non-coding RNA from Heterocephalus glaber (naked mole-rat), 3175 nucleotides. NCBI's taxonomy places the organism in Eukaryota, Metazoa, Chordata, Mammalia, Rodentia, Bathyergidae. The record is from Ensembl.